Molecule: non-coding RNA, 65 nt
Organism: Dipodomys ordii (Ord's kangaroo rat)
Lineage: Eukaryota; Metazoa; Chordata; Mammalia; Rodentia; Heteromyidae
Source: Rfam
GGUGGCUCAGUGGUAGAGCAUUUGCCUUGCAUGCAUGAGGCCCUGGGUUCAAUUCCUCAGCACCA